This 252-nucleotide ribosomal RNA is filed under the name uncultured bacterium. RNAcentral's name for it is "partial 16S ribosomal RNA". It matches the Rfam family "Bacterial small subunit ribosomal RNA", at positions 524 to 772 of the family's 1533-position model. The record is from RNAcentral.
UACGUAGGGUGCGAGCGUUAAUCGGAAUUACUGGGCGUAAAGCGUGCGUAGGCGGUCCGCGAAGUCUGAUGUGAAAGCCCCGGGCUCAACCUGGGAACUGCAUUGGAAACUAACGGGCUCGAGUGUGGCAGAGGGGGGGUGGGAAUUCCACGUGUAGCAGUGAAAUGCGUAGAGAUGUGGAGGAACACCGAUGGCGAAGGCAGCCCCCCUGGGCUAACACUGACGCUCAGGCACGAAAGCGUGGGGAGCAAA